GAGUUUGAUCCUGGCUCAGGACGAACGCUGGCGGCGCGCUUAAAACAUGCAAGUCGAACGUGAAGCCGGGGCUUGCCCCGGUGGAAAGUGGCGAACGGGUGAGUAACACGUGAGGAACCUGCCCCGGAGACCGGGAUAACCCAGGGAAACUUGGGCUAAUACCGGAUGUCUUCACCGAAUCGCAUGGUCUGGUGAAGAAAUGGAUUCCGCUCCGGGAUGGCCUCGCGGCCUAUCAGCUUGUUGGUGAGGUAACGGCUCACCAAGGCUUCGACGGGUAGCUGGUCUGAGAGGACGAUCAGCCACACUGGGACUGAGACACGGCCCAGACUCCUACGGGAGGCAGCAGUUAGGAAUCUUGCACAAUGGGGGAAACCCUGAUGCAGCGACGCCGCGUGCGGGACGAAGGCCCUCGGGUCGUAAACCGCUUUCAGCAGGAACGAAAUUGACGGUACCUGCAGAAGAAGCCCCGGCCAACUACGUGCCAGCAGCCGCGGUAAUACGUAGGGGGCGAGCGUUGUCCGGAUUCAUUGGGCGUAAAGAGCUCGUAGGCGGUUCGGUAAGUCGGGGGUGAAAU
Molecule: ribosomal RNA, 574 nt
Filed under: uncultured bacterium
Lineage: Bacteria
Description: bacterial SSU rRNA
Rfam family: Bacterial small subunit ribosomal RNA
Source: RNAcentral